RNAcentral lists this long non-coding RNA (929 nucleotides) under Homo sapiens (human). Its description in RNAcentral is "non-protein coding NR2F1-AS1:67". Lineage: Eukaryota; Metazoa; Chordata; Mammalia; Primates; Hominidae. The record is from RNAcentral.
GCGCGCGGGGUUGGCUGCCGGGAGGUCGACGCUAGUGCGGUCCCCCGCGCGGCGGAGGGGCCCGGGCCGCGGUAUCUGCGCACUGAGACGUCGGCGGAAGGCUAGAGGCCGUGCUCUCGCCCCCGCAGAAGGCCACCACUCCUUGAGAAGGCCGGAGGGACAAAGCACCGGGCCUGCGCCGGGGGCAUUCAAGAAGGAAGCCAGGCCCGACCGGGGGUGGCGCACGCUUCCCGAACCCCAGGCCCACGGCCCGGUUCCGCGCGGGCAGUUGGCGCCCCCUCGGACAGGGACUGAGAAACGGAAAUACUACCAUCCUCCAGCCAAUCUGUUGGGAGGACUGCUUGCAGAGGACUCGUGCUCCAGAUGUUGCACUAGAGGCGCUGCAAGUGUGAGCAGCAGGUAGAUGAAACUCAAGAGAAAAGGUGUGGAUAAAUGAAACUAGCCCAUGAUGAACCUGUUUUCUCCGUGACCACAAUAUUAACCAGGAUGAAUGGCGGUGGCAGUGGGCCUGCAUCACAGGUUGCAGCAGAUGUUCUCAAUAUUUCUAUUAAAAUUUCCUUAUUUCCAUAUGCAAGAGGAGCCCCAGAGCUGCAUCCUUAUGGUAGCUACCAUGCCGUGAUGUAAGCUGCCAUUCACUGGGGAGCUUUGGCAAUAGAAUUGGCUAGAUCAGGAAGCCUAUGUCAACUAUGGAACAACAACUUGCAGCUCAUCUCUAUUGAUGGUGAAACAGUCGCAAAUGGAAUUCCAAGAAACAUUCUAUCAUCAGGUAUUAUCUACUGCUGUCUGCAGAAUUCAGACAUGGAGGGCUCAAUGGUGUCCCCUGGUCUUUGGAACAUUCUGUAUUUUAAUGAUCAUGGUAAGUACUUGGAAAAUAUGCAGCAAAUAUAGAGAUGUUGGUGUUUCAGUAGAAUUAAUGACCACAUCUGAUU